AUGGCGUCCGGCAAAGCUCCAUUGCAGCCCCGGUGGAGCUUCAACGCAGCAUCGACACAUCCGACGAAGCUCCAUUGCAGCGCCGGCGGGGCUCCAACGCAGCAUCGACGCGUCCGACGAAGCUUCAUUGCAACUCCGGUGAGGCUCCAUUGCAGCCCCAGCCAUGCUUCCGGCGGCCCUGGCGUUGCUGCAAUCUACCACCGACGAUGCUCCCAAGAGUCUCAAGCAACAUCGUCGGAAUUGCAGCGCCGCCCCUCGUCGCUCACUCCGCCGCGGCUAUCGUCGCAGCACCGGCCACGCUCCAUUGUAGCUCAGGGAGGCCAUGCGCGAUGCUCAAAAUCGCAGCUCCGACGCCAUGGCAGAUGCUCCCCGACGCAGCAGCAACUCCGACGACCAUGGCAGCCGGUGGUCGGCAUCGAAGCUUCUGUCGAUUCGUCGCAGCGCAGCAGUGCCCCUUGCAGAAGCAACAACUCUGCCAUGGAAGAGAAGGAUGAGCGCGAGACAGGAGAUCGAGAGCAUGGGCAUGGCAGUGGGCAGCAGAAGGGAAAGGGAAAGGGGGAUCUGCAGGAGGGGAGGGGAUUUGAGUCGGGACGAAGACGGCGAUGCGGUAGAAAAGUGGAUGGCUGUGGACUUUUGCGUGCGAUAAGGCAGACGGUAAAGCGGCGGCUGGGCCCAGCCAGGGGACGCGUGUCGAUUCUUCGACCCCCUUCUCUCUCCCCCCUCGCCGCCGCCAAGCAACGCCGUCGGGUAAAGCCAGGUCGGCGGUGGCGGGGCCUCUUCUUCCCCUCCCCUCGUGUACCAGAGCUGGCGCGAGACGGCCGGUCGAGCGGGGACACUGGGCUAUUGCCGGGCCAAUGGUGUGGCUGCGUGCUUUUUGUUCAGCGACGGGGUGCGCCUGGUGGGGACGCGCCGGCGAGCAGGAGGAACGCCUGCGGUGUGGCGGCCGUGGGGUGUCCCUAUUUGGGCGGUGACGUGCUGGCGCGGAUCCGGCCAGAUCCACUCAUAUCCGGCUCCAGGUUGGCGGCGGGCGCGGCGCUGCUGCGGCCACGAUGGUCGUCCGGUCCGCACGUGGCGACGACGGGUCUCUCCGGCGGCGAUUCGUCUACGUCAGGCUCAGAUGAGCUCCCUCCCUCUUCUAAGGAUUCAGUGACGGGCUCGUCAAGCCGGGGUGGCUCCCUGGUGCGGUGUGGGUGUGCGCGAGGCCUGCCAGAGGUGGCAGGGGACUUCGGGAUGGGGGCAAGGUGCCCCCUCCGUUGCAUAUGGCGGCUGCUUCGGGUGGCUGCCGGAGUUCCCCUAGUCCAGAUCUGGCCACCGAGGACACCAACCCUUCCUAGGUGUCAGCUUUGGAGUGGAAGGGAGGUUUUCUACUCUGUCCCGGUCGGCCGUGUCGGUUUUGGUCUGUCCUUGGAUGAUGGUGUGGCUCGGAUGUCGUGGCGGCGGCCCGGUUGGUGGAAGCCGGGGUGCUCAUGGGCGGAGCACGCGACUCAGGCGCUGUCCGGUCACCAUGGCCAUGUGGGCGGCAUGUUGACGGAGCCUCCUGUUAGCCAAAGAGUGGCCAGCUGGGCUGAAGAUAGCAUCUUCGGCUUACUGCUGGCCGAAGAGUGGUCUUCGGCCCUGUGUAGACCGAAGAGUGUGGUCUUCGGCUUCGUGAAGGCCGAAGAGUGCCGGAGCCGUACGCCUCGCUGCAGCUGCAUGUACGCUGGUUGGCAGGCUUGCUGCCAUAUGCAUGCAGCAGCCUCUAAUCGUGGAUAUGGACUCAUCUCAUAUGCAUGCUGCUGCACCGCCGUCUGGUCGAGACGACUUGGUCGACUCGCGUCGGACCGGCCGACCGCGCCGCCCUCACUCCACUUCUCACUCACUCGCUCCUCUGCUCUCCCUGGGGCUUCAAUGGGGAAGGCGAAACCUGGCGGCGGCGACGGCCGCGGCAGCGGCGGCGCUUCUGCUGGCGAUGCUGGUGGUGCUGGAGAUCCACUGGAGCUCUGCGGGAGCUCGAAUCCUUCUCAGGCGGUGCCUCCUCCCCAAUCCCCGGACCCGCAGUACACGGUGGCUAGGGAAUUUGCCAAGGCGGUGAAGGCAAAUCCGAUGGGCAGCCAACACUUUGCAUCGUCCUUCGGCGGUGUGGUGUUGGAUGAUGAAGAAUGGGAAGUGAGAGAUACAGGAGUUGGGGUGUCAGGAAUGGAAGAAUUAACUGAUGAUGACAAGGUUGAAGAAAUGUUGGAUGACAUAUGCAGUAAAGGAAAUAAUGUGGUUAACAUUACAAUCAUGAGAAGUGAUGCACCCACACCAGCUGACCUGAACAUUGAUACUUCAGGAGUUCUUUUCCCCAGUCUAGUUAAGCCCCAACCACAGCCUGUCCAGGUCAUGAACACCCAGGAGAGUUCAUGUUUGAAGCUUAAGGGUCCAAGUGAACCAGAGUUUGCAUUGGACUAUGGUAGUGAGAGGCAUGAGUACUUCAUGGAGACAGACCAAGAUCAAGAGAAGAUUGAGAAGAUGAUGGAGCAGAGGAGGAAUGAAGAGAUUGAAAAGUUUAAGACCAAUAAGAAACAAAAAGAGAAGUACAAGGAAGCAAAGAGAAAACUUCCAGAGCUGCUUGCUGAAGAGUUCACUGACAGUGAUAGUGACAAUGAGAUUUUAGAAGAUGAAGACAUAAUAGCUAGGCUGGAGGCAAUGAAGAGGCAUAGAGCUGAUCCUCUCAAUCACUUUGAAGGAGACACUGAUGUAGAAGAGCUUUAUGAACUAGAUGAGGAGGAGUUGGAGGAUGAAGCAGGAGAGGAGGAGGUAGGACAGGAUGAGCAAGCCGAGGAGGGUAGGAGAGGAGGAAGCACUAUAGGAGGAAGCAGCACAGGAGGAAGCGAGAGGAAGGGGCCAACAACCAGAUCACAUGGAAGUCUUGACCAAAUCAUAGAGCAAGAUUGGAUACCUUCAUCUGAUGAAGAGAGCAACCCAGGUGACUUAAGUCAGGAUGAUAAUGAUGGUGCUCAGCUUCCAACAUUUAGGCAACCAAAUGGUAGGAAGAGCAGGGCCAGAAAGCAGAAGCCUAGGCUUUGGUAUGAUGAGAAGAGGGAGAACCCACAAGAACAAUUUGUGAAGAAACUUUGUUUUCUAGAUGUCCAACAAUACAGGAGAGCACUUCUUACAUUUCACAUCUCACAAAACAGGAACUACUCUUUUCAUAGAAACUGCUCAGAUAGAGUUAUUGCAGUUUGCAGAGAGAGCACCAAAGUGACUGCAAGAUGGUUGGCACAUGAGUGUGAGGAACAAUUGAGGGCAGACAUAAACACACCAGUCCAGACCAUAAUAGCCAAUUUGAAGAAUAAACAUGGAAUAGAAGUGUCCAUUCACAUGGCCUACAGAGCAAGGAAAGCAGCUAAGAGUGUUGUCCAAGGAGAUCAAAGGGCACAAUACACAAGGAUAAGGGAUUACCUCCAAGCUGUGUUGGAUACCAAUCCAGGAAGUGUUGAUGGCUGCUUCAUUAAGUUGACCACAGGGCAGCAAAUAUUGGCUGCAACUGGUAGAGAUGGUAAUAACAACAUAUUUCCCAUUGCAUUUGCAAUUGUUGACAAGGAAGACACUGCCAGCUGGUCAUGGUUUCUAACACAACUGAAGUAUGCUCUUGGUGGUGAGUCACGGAAGCAUGGCUACUACACUAUCAUAUCUAAUAGACAAAAGAACUUCCAAACAGCUGGCUUUAGAGGUGAAGAGUUAAAGAAAUACAUGGAUCAGGCUAGUUAUUCAUAUACUGAGCAUGGAUAUAAUCAAGCAAUGGAUGGAAAACCAAUUAAAACCAUGGUUGAUGGGAUCAGAACAAAAUUGUUAGUUAAGUUCAAUGCCAAUAGGACCAAGCCAGAGACAGCUAAGUGGGAGAUAUGCCCAACAUAUGCUGAAAAGCUGGAAGAAGCUAAACAUCAUUCCAGAUUCUGUCAGUCAAUCAAGGCUGGACCUGAUCUAUACCAGGUUGCAAGUGGAGAAAGCACAUAUGCAGUAAAUCUGAAAGAUUACACAUGUGGGUGUAGAAAAUGGGACAUGACUGGGGUUCCUUGCAAUCUUGGUGUUUCAACAAUUAACAAGGCUAAACUACAUACAGAAGAUUUUGUUAAUGCUUUCUUCAAGAAACCAAUGUAUCAACAAGCCUACAGUCCAAUUGUCUACCCUGUUCCUGGGCCUGAUCUAUGGCCAAAGACUGGGACCCCUGACAUAGAGCCACCUGUUUUCAGAGACAAGCCACGGAAGAAGCAGACAAAGAGGAGAAAAAAUCAGUUUGAGAAGCCAGCUCCCAAGGAUACUUCUAGGAUGGCAUCAAUCACUUGUAGUAAUUGCAAUUUGAGUGGGCAUAGGUACACUAGCGGCCACAAAAAUCUUAAGCCAGCCCUUGCAAUGAGAAGGAACCAACAUCAGGAAAACAGAAGAGUUGAUGCAGCUUCAUCAGCCCCAAGGGCAGCUCCAUCAGUACCCAGGGCGAGAACUACAGCUCCACCAGCACCUAGGCCAGCUCCAGCAGUUCCCAAGGCAAGAACUACAGCUCCACCAGCACCUAGGCCAGCUCCAUUAGCUCCUCCUGCAACUAGGAGAGCAACUGCAUCUACUGUUGCUGCUUCUAGGCCAAGUUCAUCUACUGCUGCAGCUAGAAGGCCAAGUUCAUCUACUGUUGGUGCUUCUAGGCCAAGUUCUUCUACUGCUGCAAAGAAAACAUUCAUACCACCUAGAGCUUCAGUGUGUGAUGUUGAAAACAAUUUCAAGUUUGUGAUGUUCAAAACAGCUGUGAGUUUGUCAUGUUCAAACCAGUUUAAUUCAGCCUAUUUUGGCUACUUUGUGAUGGCACUAUACUUUGUUGCAUCAAGCUAUUUAGGAUUUUAUCACUUAGGGUGGCUCGGUGUCGACCAAUCUUAA
Molecule: ribosomal RNA, 4887 nt
Filed under: Triticum aestivum (bread wheat)
Lineage: Eukaryota; Viridiplantae; Streptophyta; Magnoliopsida; Poales; Poaceae
Description: partial small subunit ribosomal RNA
Source: RNAcentral